AAUUCGAUUGAGUUUGAUCAUGGCUCAGGAUGAACGCUGGCGGUAUGCUUUACACAUGCAAGUCGAACGCAAGUUUUUAACUUGAGUGGCGGACGGGUGAGUAACACGUGAGAAUUCGCCUUUAGGCGGGGAAUAACCAUCGGAAACAAUGGCUAAUGCCCCAUAUGCUCGCAAGAGUGAAAGGAGUAAUCCACCCAAAGAGAAGCUCGCGGCUGAUUAGCUAGUUGGUAAGGUAAUGGCUUACCAAGGCGACGAUCAGUAGCUGGUUUGAGAGAACGAUCAGCCACACUGGAACUGAGACACGGUCCAGACUCCUACGGGAGGCAGCAGUGGGGAAUUUUCCGCAAUGGGCGAAAGCCUGACGGAGCAAUACCGCGUGAGGGAUGAAGGCCUUUGGGUUGUAAACCUCUUUUAUCAAGGAGGAAGUUCUGACGUGUACUUGAUGAAUAAGCAUCGGCUAACUCCGUGCCAGCAGCCGCGGUAAGACGGAGGAUGCAAGUGUUAUCCGGAAUCACUGGGCGUAAAGCGUCUGUAGGUGGUUUAAAAAGUCCACUGUUAAAGAUUGAAGCUUAACUUCAAAAAUGCCGUGGAAACUUUUAAACUUGAGUAUGAUAGGGGUAGAGGGAAUUUCCAGUGGAGCGGUGAAAUGCGUAGAUAUUGGAAAGACCACCAAUGGCGAAGGCACUCUACUGGGCCAUUACUGACACUGAGAGACGAAAGCUAGGGGAGCAAAUGGGAUUAGAUACCCCAGUAGUCCUAGCUGUAAACGAUGG
RNAcentral lists this ribosomal RNA (773 nucleotides) under uncultured bacterium. RNAcentral's name for it is "bacterial SSU rRNA". It matches the Rfam family "Bacterial small subunit ribosomal RNA", at positions 1 to 812 of the family's 1533-position model. The record is from RNAcentral.